This 510-nucleotide ribosomal RNA is filed under the name Phylladiorhynchus phlias. Its description in RNAcentral is "partial large subunit ribosomal RNA". The stretch from base 386 to 510 matches the Rfam family "Archaeal large subunit ribosomal RNA", at positions 2542 to 2666 of the family's 2987-position model. The record is from RNAcentral. Lineage: Eukaryota; Metazoa; Arthropoda; Malacostraca; Decapoda; Galatheidae.
GUCUAAAUAUUUUCCUAUUUAGUCUAACCUGCCCAGUGAUUUUUUUAAACGGCCGCGGUAUCUUGACCGUGCAAAGGUAGCAUAAUAAUUAGUUUUUUAAUUGAGAACUUGAAUGAAAGGUUGGACAGAGAAUAAACUAUCUUUAAUUUUAAAAUUUAAUUUUACUUUUAAGUAAAAAGGCUUAAAUAAGUAAAAAAGACGAUAAGACCCUAUAAAUCUUAAAUAUAGAUUGAUUUUAGUUUUAUUAUUUAUUAAUUUUUUUUCUAGAGUUAAUUAUAUUAUGUUGGGGCAACAAGAAUAUAAACUUAAUUAUUCUACUAUUAAACAAAAAUAUUUGUAAAUUCAAGAUCCUUUUUUAAUGAUUUUAAGUUUAAGUUACUUUAGGGAUAACAGCGUAAUUUUUUUUAAGAGUCCUUAUCGAAAAAAAAGUUUGCGACCUCGAUGUUGAAUUAAAAUUUAUUUUAAGGUGCAGAAGCCUAAAAAUUAAGUCUGUUCGACUUUUAAAAUUUU